GGUUAUGCGGGCGAGGUGGUUCCGGCGCUGGCGGCGCUGCCGCCGCCGCUGACCGCGCCGCCCAUCGUGACCGGCGGCGGUUCGGACCCGACGCAAUACCU
RNAcentral lists this transfer RNA (101 nucleotides) under Nocardia wallacei. Its description in RNAcentral is "tRNA-Gly". The record is from RNAcentral. Lineage: Bacteria; Bacillati; Actinomycetota; Actinomycetes; Mycobacteriales; Nocardiaceae.